UACGUAGGGUGCAAGCGUUAAUCGGAAUUACUGGGCGUAAAGCGUGCGCAGGCGGUUGUGCAAGACAGAUGUGAAAUCCCCGGGCUUAACCUGGGAACUGCAUUUGUGACUGCACGGCUAGAGUGCGGCAGAGGGGGAUGGAAUUCCGCGUGUAGCAGUGAAAUGCGUAGAUAUGCGGAGGAACACCGAUGGCGAAGGCAAUCCCCGUGGGCCUGCACUGACGCUCAUGCACGAAAGCGUGGGGAGCAAACAGG
Molecule: ribosomal RNA, 254 nt
Filed under: uncultured bacterium
Lineage: Bacteria
Description: partial 16S ribosomal RNA
Rfam family: Bacterial small subunit ribosomal RNA
Source: RNAcentral